Molecule: ribosomal RNA, 887 nt
Filed under: uncultured Synechococcus sp.
Lineage: Bacteria; Bacillati; Cyanobacteriota; Cyanophyceae; Synechococcales; Synechococcaceae
Description: bacterial SSU rRNA
Rfam family: Bacterial small subunit ribosomal RNA
Source: RNAcentral
GUGUGGUAGGGGCAGAGGGAAUUCCCGGUGUAUCGGUGAAAUGCGUAUAUAUCGGGAAGAACACCAGUGGCGAAGGCGCUCUGCUGGGCCAUAACUGACGCUCAUGGACGAAAGCCAGGGAGCGAAAUGGAUUAGAUACCCCUGUAGUCCUGGCCGUAAACGAUGAACACUAGGUGUCGGGGGAAUCGACCCCCUCGGUGUCGCAGCCAACGCAUUAAGUGUUCCGCCUGGGGAGUACGCACACAAGUGUGAAACUCAAAGGAAUUGACGGGGGCCCGCACAAGCGGUGGAGUAUGUGGUUUAAUUCGAUGCAACGCGAAGAACCUUACCAGGGUUUGACAUCCUGCGAAUCUCUUGGAAACGAGAGAGUGCCUUCGGGAGCGCAGUGACAGGUGGUGCAUGGCUGUCGUCAGCUCGUGUCGUGAGAUGUUGGGUUAAGUCCCGCAACGAGCGCAACCCACGUCGUUAGUUGCCAGCAUUUAGUUGGGCACUCUAGCGCGACCGCCGGUGAUAAACGGGAGGAAGGUGUGGAUGACGUCAAGUCAUCAUGCUCCUUACAUCCUGGGCUACACACGUACUACGAUGCUACGGACAAAGGGCAGCAAGCUCGUAAGAGUUAGCAAAUCCCAUAAACCGUGACUCAGUUCAGAUCGUAGGCUGCAACUCGCCUACGUGAAGGAGGAAUCGCUAGUAAUCGCAGGUCAGCAUACUGCGGUGAAUACGUUCCCGGGCCUUGUACACACCGCCCGUCACACCAUGGAAGUUGACCACGCCCGAAGCCGUUACUCCAACCCUUGUGGAGGAGGACGUCGAAGGUGGGGCUGAUGACUGGGGUGAAGUCGUAACAAGGUAGCCGUACCGGAAGGUGCGGCUGGAUCACCUCCUAA